Molecule: transfer RNA, 75 nt
Filed under: Staphylococcus aureus
Lineage: Bacteria; Bacillati; Bacillota; Bacilli; Caryophanales; Staphylococcaceae
Also listed under: 1 other name
Description: tRNA-Glu
Rfam family: tRNA
About the family: Transfer RNA (tRNA) molecules are approximately 80 nucleotides in length. Their secondary structure includes four short double-helical elements and three loops (D, anti-codon, and T loops). Further hydrogen bonds mediate the characteristic L-shaped molecular structure. tRNAs have two regions of fundamental functional importance: the anti-codon, which is responsible for specific mRNA codon recognition, and the 3' end, to which the tRNAs corresponding amino acid is attached (by aminoacyl-tRNA synthetases). tRNAs cope with the degeneracy of the genetic code in two manners: having more than one tRNA (with a specific anti-codon) for a particular amino acid; and 'wobble' base-pairing, i.e. permitting non-standard base-pairing at the 3rd anti-codon position.
Source: RNAcentral
GGCUCCUUGGUCAAGCGGUUAAGACACCGCCCUUUCACGGCGGUAACACGGGUUCGAGUCCCGUAGGAGCCACCA